GCUACAGGCUUAACACAUGCAAGUCGAGGGGCAUCAGGAAGAAAGCUUGCUUUCUUUGCUGGCGACCGGCGCACGGGUGAGUAACACGUAUCCAACCUGCCCUUUACUCGGGGAUAGCCUUUCGAAAGAAAGAUUAAUACCCGAUAGCAUAAUGAUUCCGCAUGGUUUCAUUAUUAAAGGAUUCCGGUAAAGGAUGGGGAUGCGUUCCAUUAGGUUGUUGGUGAGGUAACGGCCCACCAAGCCUUCGAUGGAUAGGGGUUCUGAAAGGAAGGUCCCCCACAUUGGAACUGAAACACGGUCCAAACUCCUACGGGAGGCAGCAGUGAGGAUUAUUGGUCAAUGGGCGCUAGCCUGAACCAGCCAAGUAGCGUGAAGGAUGAAGGCUCUAUGGGUCGUAAACUUCUUUUAUAUAAGAAUAAAGUGCAGUAUGUAUACUGUUUUGUAUGUAUUAUAUGAAUAAGGAUCGGCUAACUCCGUGCCAGCAGCCGCGGUAAUACGGAGGAUCCGAGCGUUAUCCGGAUUUAUUGGGUUUAAAGGGAGCGUAGGUGGACUGGUAAGUCAGUUGUGAAAGUUUGCAGCUCAACCGUAAAAUUGCAGUUGAUACUGUCAGUCUUGAGUACAGUAGAGGUGGGCGGAAUUCGUGGUGUAGCGGUGAAAUGCUUAGAUAUCACGAAGAACUCCGAUUGCGAAGGCAGCUCACUGGACUGCAACUGACACUGAUGCUCGAAAGUGUGGGUAUCAAACAGGAUUAGAUACCCUGGUAGUCCACACAGUAAACGAUGAAUACUCGCUGUUUGCGAUAUACAGUAAGCGGCCAAGCGAAAGCAUUAAGUAUUCCACCUGGGGAGUACGCCGGCAACGGUGAAACUCAAAGGAAUUGACGGGGGCCCGCACAAGCGGAGGAACAUGUGGUUUAAUUCGAUGAUACGCGAGGAACCUUACCCGGGCUUAAAUUGCAGUGGAAUGAUGUGGAAACAUGUCAGUGAGCAAUCACCGCUGUGAAGGUGCUGCAUGGUUGUCGUCAGCUCGUGCCGUGAGGUGUCGGCUUAAGUGCCAUAACGAGCGCAACCCUUAUCUUUAGUUACUAACAGGUUAUGCUGAGGACUCUGGAGAGACUGCCGUCGUAAGAUGUGAGGAAGGUGGGGAUGACGUCAAAUCAGCACGGCCCUUACGUCCGGGGCUACACACGUGUUACAAUGGGGGGUACAGAAGGCAGCUACCUGGUGACAGGAUGCUAAUCCCAAAAGCCUCUCUCAGUUCGGAUCGAAGUCUGCAACCCGACUUCGUGAAGCUGGAUUCGCUAGUAAUCGCGCAUCAGCCACGGCGCGGUGAAUACGUUCCCGGGCCUUGUACACACCGCCCGUCAAGCCAUGGGAGCCGGGGGUACCUGAAGUACGUAACCGCAAGGAUCGUCCUAGGGUAAAACUGGUGACUAGGGCU
RNAcentral lists this ribosomal RNA (1440 nucleotides) under uncultured organism. RNAcentral describes it as "SSU rRNA". It matches the Rfam family "Bacterial small subunit ribosomal RNA". The record is from RNAcentral.